UCCGUAGGUGGCAAGCGUUAUCCGGAAUUAUUGGGCGUAAAGCGCGCGCAGGCGGUUUCUUAAGUCCGAUGUGAAAGCCCACGGCUCAACCGUGGAGGGUCAUUGGAAACUGGGGAACUUGAGUGCAGAAGAGAAAAGCGGAAUUCCACGUGUAGCGGUGAAAUGCGUAGAGAUGUGGAGGAACACCAGUGGCGAAGGCGGCUUUUUGGUCUGUAACUGACGCUGAGGCGCGAAAGCGUGGGGAGCAAACAGG
Molecule: ribosomal RNA, 253 nt
Filed under: uncultured bacterium
Lineage: Bacteria
Description: partial 16S ribosomal RNA
Rfam family: Bacterial small subunit ribosomal RNA
Source: RNAcentral